This 202-nucleotide long non-coding RNA is filed under the name Capsicum annuum. RNAcentral's name for it is "long non-coding RNA (CANN_LNC018347)". Lineage: Eukaryota; Viridiplantae; Streptophyta; Magnoliopsida; Solanales; Solanaceae. The record is from RNAcentral.
AAGAUCAACAACCACUUUUUUUUUAACAAUAUAUGGAUAUGGUGAAGAACACCAAGAACACAAACUUUGAGUCUUGAAGUUCUAAGGUUCAAGUUGGACCUCCCAAACAACAACUUUCCAAGCUUAAAUUCCACAACACAAUCUCCACAAUACACGUUCAAAUCUUGAAUCAACAACACUUCACACGUUCAAGUCUUGAACC